RNAcentral lists this long non-coding RNA (321 nucleotides) under Homo sapiens (human). Its description in RNAcentral is "HSALNT0006206". Lineage: Eukaryota; Metazoa; Chordata; Mammalia; Primates; Hominidae. The record is from RNAcentral.
AAUCUCUGUCUCUGCCCAGGCCGGAGUGCACUGGCAUGAUCAGGGCUCACUGUAUCUUUAGCCUCCUGGGUUCAAGGAAUCCUUCUGCCUCAUCUUCUCAGAUAGCUAGGUCUCCAGAUGUCUGCCACCAUGUCUGGCUAAUUUGUUCUCUAAUUUUAUUUUGUUUAGACGGCUGUCUUGCUGUGCUGCCCAGGCUGGUCUCAAACCUGGCUUCAAGUUAUUCUCCUGCCUCAGCCUCCCAAAGUGUUGGGAUUAUAGGCAUAACCCACCAUGCCCAGCCCUAGGCAUGAUUAUUAUAGAUAACUGUCUCUUGAUUAUGGA